Puntigrus tetrazona (Sumatra barb) is the source of this 342-nucleotide long non-coding RNA. RefSeq lists it as uncharacterized. NCBI's taxonomy places the organism in Eukaryota, Metazoa, Chordata, Actinopteri, Cypriniformes, Cyprinidae. The transcript is spliced from 3 exons. The record is from RefSeq and is a predicted model, not a curated record.
AUCGUUUCGGGGGAGAUCGCACAGAAAUAACGUUUUUGCAUCCUGGGACAUGUCGUUGACUGGGCAGACCUGAAUGUAGCCCAUGAAUUAAGAAGAGAAAGGAUGAUGAUGCUAAUAAUAGUAAUAAUACUGAUAACGGCACCAAGUGUAUAGUGACACAACGCCGUCUCGAGAGAAAUAAAGAGGUGGUCAGAGAAGCAGAAAUGAAAAGGUCUCAGGACAAAAAAAUUGAGGUCAAAAAUUCACCGGUUUUGAACACAUCUCCAGCGAAAAAGAUAAAGGCACAGCAUUUCCGAUCAGCAGCUGGAGACAUGUCUUAUGGGUUUGAAGUAGCAUUAGCAG